This 634-nucleotide ribosomal RNA is filed under the name uncultured soil bacterium. RNAcentral describes it as "bacterial SSU rRNA". It matches the Rfam family "Bacterial small subunit ribosomal RNA", at positions 134 to 761 of the family's 1533-position model. The record is from RNAcentral.
GAGUGGGGGAUAACGUAGCGAAAGUUACCCUAAUACCGCAUACGAUCUAAGGAUGAAAGUGGGGGAUCCGCAAGGACCUCAUGCUCGUGGAGCGGCCGAUAUCUGAUUAGCUAGUUGGUAGGGUAAAAGCCUACCAAGGCAUCGAUCAGUAGCUGGUCUGAGAGGACGACCAGCCACACUGGAACUGAGACACGGUCCAGACUCCUACGGGAGGCAGCAGUGGGGAAUUUUGGACAAUGGGCGCAAGCCUGAUCCAGCAAUGCCGCGUGAGUGAAGAAGGCCUUCGGGUUGUAAAGCUCUUUUGUCAGGGAAGAAACGGUGUUUUCUAAUACAGAGCACUAAUGACGGUACCUGAAGAAUAAGCACCGGCUAACUACGUGCCAGCAGCCGCGGUAAUACGUAGGGUGCAAGCGUUAAUCGGAAUUACUGGGCGUAAAGCGUGUGCAGGCGGUUUUGUAAGUCUGUCGUGAAAUCCCCGGGCUCAACCUGGGAAUGGCGAUGGAGACUGCAAGGCUAGAAUCUGGCAGAGGGGGGUAGAAUUCCACGUGUAGCAGUGAAAUGCGUAGAGAUGUGGAGGAACACCGAUGGCGAAGGCAGCCCCCUGGGUCAAGAUUGACGCUCAUGCACGAAAGCG